Macadamia integrifolia is the source of this 1265-nucleotide RNA transcript. It is a transcript of the gene named probable inactive nicotinamidase At3g16190, with no coding region annotated. The transcript is spliced from 6 exons. Lineage: Eukaryota; Viridiplantae; Streptophyta; Magnoliopsida; Proteales; Proteaceae. The record is from RefSeq and is a predicted model, not a curated record.
CCAAUAAUCAAAUGUUGUGGCACAUAUUAUACCAUUGAACUACAAAUAAGUUCUCCGAUAGCCUGAGACCGUGAGGAGCUCAUGGGGUGACGUCUCAAGAACUCAUCUGGUGGUGGUCAAAAUAGCUCCUCCCCACCCAAUUAUCUCAAUUAUCUGCAUCUGCCCUCCUUUCUUUUCUGGGUUUUGGCCAAAAUCUUCUCUCUCUCACACACGGGCUUCUGAGGUAGACAAUGGCGGAGAUGUGGAAGAAAACAGUGCUGCUUGUAAUAGACAUGCAGAAAGAUUUCAUUGCUGAAGGUAGCUCGGUACAAGUACUUGGAGGCCCCGCUAUUGUCCCUGCUGUUAUCAAAGCCGUGGAAAUGUCCAGACACCGUGGCAUGCUUGUUGUUUGGGUUGUCCGAGAACAUGAUCCAUUGGGAAGAGACGUUGAACUCUACAGCCAACGUAUGUACGGUACCGGGAAGACUGGGCCUCUUGUCAAGGGCAGUGUUGGAGGAGAACUGGUUGAUGGCCUUGAAAUCCAUGAAGGGGAAUACAAAUUGGUGAAGACCCGUUUCAGUGCGUUCUUCGCUACCCACCUCCAUUACUUUCUUCAACGCGCUGGGAUCAAUAGGGUUGUUGUUGUUGGUGUUCAAACCCCUAAUUGUAUUAGGCAGACUGUGUUCGAUGCUGUUGAAUUGGAUUACGAAUCCGUGACUGUCAUUGUUGAUGCCACAGCCGCAGCUACACCUGAAGUACAUAAUGUGGUAGGGUGGCACAGCUGAUUCAGAUUUCUGGGGUAGCAAUUUUGUUGGCAAAUGCUAUUUCCCUUUUAGGAUGUAAAAGUGGAAGAUGUGAUCUUAAAAAUGAUUCCCCUGUCCUCGCUUCUUGCUUUUGAGUUCCUUAUUGUCCAGUGGAAGAAUUUGGAUAAUCAAUGUUUGCAACCAGGUCUUUGGAGAAGCUAUUUUCUCAACCAAGCAAAUAUUUUCGACAUGAAAAACAUCGGAGUUGUAACACCAACAUUACAGGAGUGGUGCAAGUAGAGUGCUCAACUUGGCCUGGAUUCAUCAAUCGGUCAACCCCGAGUUCCUCCACUACUUCCAUAAUGCCCAUUUGUGAAAAUAUCCAAAAGCAGGGUUUGCUACUUGCUCUGCUUGAAGGGAUGGAUUGUACUAAAUUGUUCAUGAAUGGGUGUUGAUUGUGUACACUAGGUUAUUUCUUAUAUGCUUGAUCUAUUUGUAAUUUUGACCGAAGAAAAAUAAAAUAAAAUAAAGGAUCUUACUGAA